This 1548-nucleotide ribosomal RNA is filed under the name Enterococcus hirae ATCC 9790. RNAcentral's name for it is "bacterial SSU rRNA". It matches the Rfam family "Bacterial small subunit ribosomal RNA". The record is from RNAcentral. Lineage: Bacteria; Bacillati; Bacillota; Bacilli; Lactobacillales; Enterococcaceae.
AGAGUUUGAUCCUGGCUCAGGACGAACGCUGGCGGCGUGCCUAAUACAUGCAAGUCGAACGCUUCUUUUUCCACCGGAGCUUGCUCCACCGGAAAAAGAGGAGUGGCGAACGGGUGAGUAACACGUGGGUAACCUGCCCAUCAGAAGGGGAUAACACUUGGAAACAGGUGCUAAUACCGUAUAACAAUCGAAACCGCAUGGUUUCGAUUUGAAAGGCGCUUUCGGGUGUCGCUGAUGGAUGGACCCGCGGUGCAUUAGCUAGUUGGUGAGGUAACGGCUCACCAAGGCGACGAUGCAUAGCCGACCUGAGAGGGUGAUCGGCCACAUUGGGACUGAGACACGGCCCAAACUCCUACGGGAGGCAGCAGUAGGGAAUCUUCGGCAAUGGACGAAAGUCUGACCGAGCAACGCCGCGUGAGUGAAGAAGGUUUUCGGAUCGUAAAACUCUGUUGUUAGAGAAGAACAAGGAUGAGAGUAACUGUUCAUCCCUUGACGGUAUCUAACCAGAAAGCCACGGCUAACUACGUGCCAGCAGCCGCGGUAAUACGUAGGUGGCAAGCGUUGUCCGGAUUUAUUGGGCGUAAAGCGAGCGCAGGCGGUUUCUUAAGUCUGAUGUGAAAGCCCCCGGCUCAACCGGGGAGGGUCAUUGGAAACUGGGAGACUUGAGUGCAGAAGAGGAGAGUGGAAUUCCAUGUGUAGCGGUGAAAUGCGUAGAUAUAUGGAGGAACACCAGUGGCGAAGGCGGCUCUCUGGUCUGUAACUGACGCUGAGGCUCGAAAGCGUGGGGAGCAAACAGGAUUAGAUACCCUGGUAGUCCACGCCGUAAACGAUGAGUGCUAAGUGUUGGAGGGUUUCCGCCCUUCAGUGCUGCAGCUAACGCAUUAAGCACUCCGCCUGGGGAGUACGACCGCAAGGUUGAAACUCAAAGGAAUUGACGGGGGCCCGCACAAGCGGUGGAGCAUGUGGUUUAAUUCGAAGCAACGCGAAGAACCUUACCAGGUCUUGACAUCCUUUGACCACUCUAGAGAUAGAGCUUCCCCUUCGGGGGCAAAGUGACAGGUGGUGCAUGGUUGUCGUCAGCUCGUGUCGUGAGAUGUUGGGUUAAGUCCCGCAACGAGCGCAACCCUUAUUGUUAGUUGCCAUCAUUUAGUUGGGCACUCUAGCAAGACUGCCGGUGACAAACCGGAGGAAGGGGGGGAUGACGUCAAAUCAUCAUGCCCCUUAUGACCUGGGCUACACACGUGCUACAAUGGGAAGUACAACGAGUCGCAAAGUCGCGAGGCUAAGCUAAUCUCUUAAAGCUUCUCUCAGUUCGGAUUGUAGGCUGCAACUCGCCUACAUGAAGCCGGAAUCGCUAGUAAUCGCGGAUCAGCACGCCGCGGUGAAUACGUUCCCGGGCCUUGUACACACCGCCCGUCACACCACGAGAGUUUGUAACACCCGAAGUCGGUGAGGUAACCUUUUGGAGCCAGCCGCCUAAGGUGGGAUAGAUGAUUGGGGUGAAGUCGUAACAAGGUAGCCGUAUCGGAAGGUGCGGCUGGAUCACCU